CACAUAUGGAUGAAAGCGGGGGAUCGCAAGACCUCGCGCGAUUGGAGGGCAUCAGAUUAGCUAGUUGGCGGGGUAAAAGCCCACCAAGGCGAGAUUAGCUGGUCUGAGAGGACGACCAGCCACACUGGAACUGAGACAGGUGACUCCUACGGGGGGCAGCAGUGGGGAAUUUUGGACAAUGGGCCAAUGAUCCAGCAAUGCCGCGUGCAGGAUGAAGGCCUUCGGGUUGUAACUUUUGUACGGAACGAAACGGUCUCUCCUAAUACGAGGGGCUAAGACACCGUAAGAAUAAGCACCGGCUAACUACGUGCCAGCAGCCGCGUAAGUAGGGUGCAAGCGUUAAUCGGAAUUACUGGGCGUAAAGCGUGGCAGUGAUGUAAAGACAGAUGUGAAAUCCCCGG
Molecule: ribosomal RNA, 401 nt
Filed under: uncultured bacterium
Lineage: Bacteria
Description: bacterial SSU rRNA
Rfam family: Bacterial small subunit ribosomal RNA
Source: RNAcentral